This 460-nucleotide ribosomal RNA is filed under the name uncultured bacterium. RNAcentral's name for it is "partial 16S ribosomal RNA". It matches the Rfam family "Bacterial small subunit ribosomal RNA", at positions 338 to 795 of the family's 1533-position model. The record is from RNAcentral.
CCUACGGGAGGCAGCAGUGAGGAAUAUUGGUCAAUGGACGAGAGUCUGAACCAGCCAAGUAGCGUGAAGGAUGACUGCCCUAUGGGUUGUAAACUUCUUUUAUAUGGGAAUAAAAUGUUCCACGUGUGGGAUUUUGUAUGUACCAUAUGAAUAAGGAUCGGCUAACUCCGUGCCAGCAGCCGCGGUAAUACGGAGGAUCCGAGCGUUAUCCGGAUUUAUUGGGUUUAAAGGGAGCGUAGGUGGAUUGUUAAGUCAGUUGUGAAAGUUUGCGGCUCAACCGUAAAAUUGCAGUUGAAACUGGCAGUCUUGAGUACAGUAGAGAUGGGCGGAAUUCGUGGUGUAGCGGUGAAAUGCUUAGAUAUCACGAAGAACUCCGAUUGCGAAGGCAGUUCACUGGACUGCAACUGACACUGAGGCUCGAAAGUGUGGGUAUCAAACAGGGUUAGAUACCCCUGUAGUC